CCUACGGGUGGCAGCAGUCGAGAAUCAUUCACAAUGGGGGAAACCCUGAUGGUGCGACGCCGCGUGGGGGAAUGAAGGUCUUCGGAUUGUAAACCCCUGUCAUGUGGGAGCAAAUUAAAAAGAUAGUACCACAAGAGGAAGAGACGGCUAACUCUGUGCCAGCAGCCGCGGUAAUACAGAGGUCUCAAGCGUUGUUCGGAAUCACUGGGCGUAAAGCGUGCGUAGGCUGUUUCGUAAGUCGUGUGUGAAAGGCGCGGGCUCAACCCGCGGACGGCACAUGAUACUGCGAGACUAGAGUAAGGGAGGGGGAACCGGAAUUCUCGGUGUAGCAGUGAAAUGCGUAGAUAGCGAGAGGAACACUCGUGGCGAAGGCGGGUUCCUGGACAUUAACUGACGCUGAGGCACGAAGGCCAGGGGAGCGAAAGGGAUUAGAUACCCCUGUAGUC
RNAcentral lists this ribosomal RNA (446 nucleotides) under uncultured bacterium. RNAcentral describes it as "partial 16S ribosomal RNA". It matches the Rfam family "Bacterial small subunit ribosomal RNA", at positions 338 to 795 of the family's 1533-position model. The record is from RNAcentral.